GCAGGCCUAACACAUGCAAGUCGAGCGGAUGAAGAGAGCUUGCUCUCUGAUUCAGCGGCGGACGGGUGAGUAAUGCCUAGGAAUCUGCCUGGUAGUGGGGGACAACGUCUCGAAAGGGACGCUAAUACCGCAUACGUCCUACGGGAGAAAGCAGGGGACCUUCGGGCCUUGCGCUAUCAGAUGAGCCUAGGUCGGAUUAGCUAGUUGGUGAGGUAAUGGCUCACCAAGGCGACGAUCCGUAACUGGUCUGAGAGGAUGAUCAGUCACACUGGAACUGAGACACGGUCCAGACUCCUACGGGAGGCAGCAGUGGGGAAUAUUGGACAAUGGGCGAAAGCCUGAUCCAGCCAUGCCGCGUGUGUGAAGAAGGUCUUCGGAUUGUAAAGCACUUUAAGUUGGGAGGAAGGGUUGUAAAUUAAUACUCUGCAAUUUUGACGUUACCGACAGAAUAAGCACCGGCUAACUCUGUGCCAGCAGCCGCGGUAAUACAGAGGGUGCAAGCGUUAAUCGGAAUUACUGGGCGUAAAGCGCGCGUAGGUGGUUUGUUAAGUUGGAUGUGAAAGCCCCGGGCUCAACCUGGGAACUGCAUUCAAAACUGACAAGCUAGAGUAUGGUAGAGGGUGGUGGAAUUUCCUGUGUAGCGGUGAAAUGCGUAGAUAUAGGAAGGAACACCAGUGGCGAAGGCGA
This 687-nucleotide ribosomal RNA is filed under the name Pseudomonas mohnii. RNAcentral describes it as "bacterial SSU rRNA". It matches the Rfam family "Bacterial small subunit ribosomal RNA", at positions 42 to 724 of the family's 1533-position model. The record is from RNAcentral. Lineage: Bacteria; Pseudomonadati; Pseudomonadota; Gammaproteobacteria; Pseudomonadales; Pseudomonadaceae.